RNAcentral lists this transfer RNA (71 nucleotides) under Chaetodon nippon (Japanese butterflyfish). RNAcentral's name for it is "tRNA-Asp". It matches the Rfam family "tRNA". Rfam says of the family: Transfer RNA (tRNA) molecules are approximately 80 nucleotides in length. Their secondary structure includes four short double-helical elements and three loops (D, anti-codon, and T loops). Lineage: Eukaryota; Metazoa; Chordata; Actinopteri; Chaetodontiformes; Chaetodontidae. The record is from RNAcentral.
AAGACACUAGUAAAAUUAAAAUACAUUGCUUUGUCAGGGCAAAAUUGCAGGUUAGACUCCUGCGUGCCUUA